This is a non-coding RNA of Rattus norvegicus (Norway rat), 973 nucleotides long. Lineage: Eukaryota; Metazoa; Chordata; Mammalia; Rodentia; Muridae. The record is from RefSeq and is a predicted model, not a curated record.
UGUCAUUUUUAAUAGAUGCAGAAGCUGCUUGGCCUGAGCUUCUGCUCACUCCAGUGAAGUGUGUCCUUCUCAGCCCUCUGACGGUGUGGGUGACUAGGCUAACAAUAACUUUGUGAGUUUCACAGCAGCGACCAGGAUGCAGCUGCCUUCUCAGCAUUUCAUGUGUAACAGUCAAGCCUCAGGCUUCACUCUCUUAGAGCUACUCUGAAAACUCUGAAAGCAUUAAUGAAAAUUUAAAAUCCUGAGUGAAGGUGGCCUGGGACGUGGGUUCAGGUUACACGUCUACUGUGGAAAUGACACGUUCCACCACGGAACUGGGGCCAUGAGCUCUUUACAGUCCCAGAAUGAAGAGAGACCAUAACCAAGACGUUUCCCAGCUACAGUGGUAGGAAGAUCAGGUUGGUGAAAGUCAAUGGUCUGCCAGAUUGCCUUCUAGAAAAUGUGCCUGAUAGAAGAAGCCUGUGAGGUCAGACACAAGUGGGCCAAAAGGACUACAGAUAUCCUGAGAUGAUUUUGGCCGUGGAUUUGCAACAUCAUCCCACCUCUCCACAUUUAAAUUAAUCGGACUUGUAGAAUCAACAACACAGAGCCUACGUCUCUGAUGCCAGCAGGUACCGAAGACAGCUGAGACUGGAAGCUUCACUGACUUGAUCAACUACUGGGUUCCUGGGCCUUCCGUUGGUAGACAGCCAUUGUUGGAUUAACUGGACGACAUCCUGUGUUCCAGGGUCUGAUAAUGCUAUUUUCUCUGCCUGGGAUCCUCUCAUUCAAAUCUUUACACUUAACGAUUUGGGCAUCUUCAGAAAAAGCUGGUUGGCCAGAACAGCAGAAAGCAGAGCUCUGGAUUCAGAAGGGGACCCUGCCUCGAUACACAAAGGGAAGAGCCAUCGAAGAAUGGACCCAUUAUCAGUCUCUGUCCUCUCUCUACACCCCCACAUGCUCCCCCACACAUUAAAAAAAAAAGAACGUAAAA